UUGUUUGAUGAAAAAGAGCGUGACGCUCGAAUUAACCCAGCUCGUUGAGGAGGGAGUAACGCCCCAAAUUCCUUUGAGAUGAUCUUUCAUUCUGAUCU
Molecule: small nucleolar RNA, 98 nt
Filed under: Phlebiopsis gigantea 11061_1 CR5-6
Lineage: Eukaryota; Fungi; Basidiomycota; Agaricomycetes; Polyporales; Phanerochaetaceae
Description: A. fumigatus snoRNA Afu_304
Rfam family: A. fumigatus snoRNA Afu_304
Source: Rfam by way of RNAcentral